RNAcentral lists this ribosomal RNA (498 nucleotides) under uncultured bacterium. Its description in RNAcentral is "partial 16S ribosomal RNA". It matches the Rfam family "Bacterial small subunit ribosomal RNA", at positions 30 to 523 of the family's 1533-position model. The record is from RNAcentral.
AUUGAACGCUGGCGGCAUGCCUUACACAUGCAAGUCGAACGGUAACAGGUCUUCGGAUGCUGACGAGUGGCGAACGGGUGAGUAAUACAUCGGAACGUGCCUAGUAGUGGGGGAUAACUACUCGAAAGAGUGGCUAAUACCGCAUGAGAUCUACGGAUGAAAGCAGGGGAUCGCAAGACCUUGUGCUACUAGAGCGGCCGAUGGCAGAUUAGGUAGUUGGUGGGAUAAAAGCUUACCAAGCCGACGAUCUGUAGCUGGUCUGAGAGGACGAUCAGCCACACUGGGACUGAGACACGUCCCAGACUCCUACGGGAGGCAGCAGUGGGGAAUUUUGGACAAUGGGCGAAAGCCUGAUCCAGCAAUGCCGCGUGCAGGAUAAAGGCCUUCGGGUUGUAAACUGCUUUUGUACGGAACGAAAAGCCCUGGGUUAAUACCCUGGGGUCAUGACGGUACCGUAAGAAUAAGCACCGGCUAACUACGUGCCAGCAGCCGCCGUAA